Contarinia nasturtii (swede midge) is the source of this 623-nucleotide long non-coding RNA. RefSeq lists it as uncharacterized. The record is from RefSeq and is a predicted model, not a curated record. Lineage: Eukaryota; Metazoa; Arthropoda; Insecta; Diptera; Cecidomyiidae. The transcript has 2 exons.
UGUUUUUUUUAGUUACGCUUUUAGUGGUUGGACUGUCAGCUUAAAGUCCAAGCCUUAGACUCACUAUAUUUCUGAGAGGACAAGAAUUUGAUCGUUAAAAUGAAUCAACAUUUAUUUGCGUCAUUUUUAAUCGGAUUCACAUUUUGUGAGCUUCUGAUUGUACACGUCGAUUGUGGCAAAAAUGAGGAUCGCUGUGUAACUGGGAUUCCAGUGGAGACGACACUACCUAUCCGAGGUUUAAAUAUAGUGGAACGGAUUGAAAGGGCAAGAAAUAGAGUUCACAUUAUGGAAGGUCAUUUAAACAACCAGCCUUUACAUACAGACUUAGCGAUGCAUAUUGUUAAAGCGAAAAACAGAAUCAACGUAAUUCAUGAUCAUUUAAAUCCUCCGUUACCGAUAAACAGAAUCAACGAAUCCUCCGUUAACGAGAAAGAGAAUGGACGUAAUUAAUAAUCAUUUAUAUCCCUCGGUACGUCCUCGUCAAGCAAGACUUUAAAAUCAAAUUGAAUUUUCAAAGAAUAAACAGUAGUUUGUCAACAAUUUAUUUGUACAUUUAACAAUGUUAAAAUAAAUUUUAAUAAAACGCAACUGGUUUCGAAAUGUUUGGCAUGCCAACAUUAUAA